UGGGGAAUAUUGCACAAUGGAGGAAACUCUGAUGCAGCGACGCCGCGUGAACGAAGAAGUAUUUCGGUAUGUAAAGUUCUAUCAGCAGGGAAGAUUAUGACGGUACCUGACCAAGAAGCCCCGGCUAAAUACGUGCCAGCAGCCGCGGUAAUACGUAUGGGGCAAGCGUUAUCCGGAUUUACUGGGUGUAAAGAGAGCGUAGACGGUAAUGUAAGUCUGAAGUGAAAUGCAGGGGCUUAACCCCUGAACUGCUUUGGAAACUAUAUAACUGGAGUACCGGAGGGGUAAGCGGAAUUCCUGGUGUAGCGGUGAAAUGCGUAGAUAUCAGGAGGAACACCGGUGGCGAAGGCGGCUUACUGGACGGUAACUGACGUUGAGGCUCGAAAGCGUGGGGAGCAAACAGGAUUAGAUACCCUGGUAGU
Molecule: ribosomal RNA, 422 nt
Filed under: uncultured Lachnospiraceae bacterium
Lineage: Bacteria; Bacillati; Bacillota; Clostridia; Lachnospirales; Lachnospiraceae
Description: bacterial SSU rRNA
Rfam family: Bacterial small subunit ribosomal RNA
Source: RNAcentral